UUUUUUUUUUUUGGUUGUUUUUGGUUUUCUUUCUACUUUCCAUCUCGAUAGCUAGGGAUUUUUUCUACUUUCCCUUUCAAACACCUUCUUUGCACUCUCAACACCAUUGAUAUCGCCUUCUCUAUUUCCACAUAUUUCCUCCAUUUUUGAACACCGCAUGUGCAAAACAAACUGUAAAGAAGCAGCCAAAUACGAGGUCACGAAACCAUCUGUUUUCACCUUCUGCCCAAUUCAGGUCUUGAAUCGCAUUUCUUCGACAGAUCUCGGCUCUUGGAGUCAGGUUUCCUUCUCUUCUCUUCCUCCUCUUCUCUCCAUUGACACCCUUGCUCUCUCUCUCUCUCUCUUUUAUUUUCUUCAACCUCUGGAAAACCUAGCUUACAGUUUCUUCUCAAAUAGCAAGGGGUUUGAAUUAUCUACAUGAGAAUUAUAAACUGAAGAUGGCACAUAGGGGUAUUAAAACUGCUAAUAUCCUUGUUGAUGAUGCUCUAAACGCUAAGAUAUCAAACUUUGGGAAUCCUAUCCUUUAUGCAGAGGAUGGACAGGACAAUGAAUUUAAGGUCAUCAAAGUAGAAGCAACACGGUGAGUAAACAAAGAACCAGUACCCCCUUUGAACUUAAUUUGUACUAAUUUGUAAAUGAAAUGGCUAUUUAAUUUUAUACAUAUAAUCAAAUUAUAAGGGAAAGAACAAGUACUAUAAUAACCAGUAUUUCUGGAUCGAUACAAUGGAUACAUCAUAAAUGGCUCUCGAGUACCCAAUGUACGGAAAGAUAUCGUAAACAUAUAUGUCGAUGGUUAUGGUGUUGUUGUACUUGAAAUUGUUAGUGUGAAGAAAAAUGCAGAAAAUAAAUUCAACCAGAAGCAGCGUGAGUUUCUGGCAGAGGAAGCUUGUCUUGUAGAAUCAAAACACAAGCUACUGGAAUUAGUGGAUAAUUGACCAUCUUAACGUUAGUGAUGAAGUGCACCAAUAUAUCCACCGCUAUCAGACCCACAACGUCUAAUGUUGUAAGUUCUCUCAUUGGUAUGAAAACCAUUAACAAAAUCUCUAUGCUUUCCUCCAUGGAUAAGAUCUCCCAGAAUCUUUGCAAAAACUAUUUCAAAUCUCUUCUUCAUGACGAUGAACAACCACCACCUUUUUGUUUUCUUGAACUAUGCAUAAUGUUCGAAUAUUUCUAGAAUGUAUAGCAUAGAAACAUUCUGUUUAUGAAUAAUGCAGACGAUCUUUUAGAUGCAUCCACUUCUUUCUGUCUAUGUGAAUGCCUACACAAAUAUGCAAGUGCAUGUUUUAUUUUUAUUUUUAUUUUUAUUUUUUUUUUCAUGUUGUUUUGAAGUUGAUCCAAAUUUCCUAUGGUUGCUUUGCUUUGUCUCUAUUCAAGAAUAAAUAAUGCGAAAUUUUUUGCCAGGCUGUUAGAGAAUAGUUAGUACAACUGAUGUUUGAAACAUUUAACAUAUCGAGCUUCUGUGCUUCAGAGCAAGCAGUAUUGUCACUCUAUGCAGUAAGACGAAUCUCAAGAUGCACUGUUGAUAUUGGCCAUGGAAAGAUAGCAUUGGAGAAGCAAGUGAUGGAUCGAGUAGAAAAUUGAAACACAAAAUUUGCAAUCGUAGAGUUACAAGUGCAUGCUAAGAAAAUUACACACACAUUCACAGAGAUAAAGAAAGAGAGAGAUAAAUAGAGUUCUUCAAGAGGAAGUAUGUUCAUGAGGCUUACAACAAAGAACUAAGCAUAUGAGCUAGGUGGUGAUGCAUUUUUCUUUACUUUUGUCAUGUUUAUAGAUACAUCUUUUUUAUUAUAUUAGCCUUUUAAUAAUAAAGAUAAUGGUGGCUUAUACUGUUCAUUUAACGAAGAUAACGAUGUGUUAUUAAUGUAAUGAUAACUAAUUGACCUUAUAGAAAAUGUGUCAUGUUUAUUUAUUAGAA
Ziziphus jujuba (common jujube) is the source of this 1915-nucleotide long non-coding RNA. RefSeq lists it as uncharacterized. The transcript has 3 exons. The record is from RefSeq and is a predicted model, not a curated record. NCBI's taxonomy places the organism in Eukaryota, Viridiplantae, Streptophyta, Magnoliopsida, Rosales, Rhamnaceae.